This 623-nucleotide ribosomal RNA is filed under the name Staphylococcus pseudintermedius. RNAcentral describes it as "partial 23S ribosomal RNA". It matches the Rfam family "Bacterial large subunit ribosomal RNA", at positions 380 to 1004 of the family's 2925-position model. Lineage: Bacteria; Bacillati; Bacillota; Bacilli; Caryophanales; Staphylococcaceae. The record is from RNAcentral.
CGAAAACGAAUUCUCUCUUGAGUGGAUCCUGAGUACGACGGAGCACGUGAAAUUCCGUCGGAAUCUGGGAGGACCAUCUCCUAAGGCUAAAUACUCUCUAGUGACCGAUAGUGAACCAGUACCGUGAGGGAAAGGUGAAAAGUACCCCGGAAGGGGAGUGAAAGAGAACUUGAAACCGUGUGCUUACAAGUAGUCAGAGCCCGUUAAUGGGUGAUGGCGUGCCUUUUGUAGAAUGAACCGGCGAGUUACGAUCUGAUGCAAGGUUAAGCAGAAAAUGUGGAGCCGUAGCGAAAGCGAGUCUGAAUAGGGCGAAUGAGUAUUUGGUCGUAGACCCGAAACCAGGUGAUCUACCCUUGGUCAGGUUGAAGUUCAGGUAACACUGAAUGGAGGACCGAACCGACUUACGUUGAAAAGUGAGCGGAUGAACUGAGGGUAGCGGAGAAAUUCCAAUCGAACUUGGAGAUAGCUGGUUCUCUCCGAAAUAGCUUUAGGGCUAGCCUCAAGUGAUGAUUAUUGGAGGUAGAGCACUGUUUGGACGAGGGGCCCCUCUCGGGUUACCGAAUUCAGACAAACUCCGAAUGCCAAAUAAUUUAACUUGGGAGUCAGAAUGUGGGUGAUAAGGU